AGAGUCAACUUCCAAAUGGAAAAUGGUUCUGAAAAUUUGUAGCAGAAGCUGACUAAUUAAAUGACACCCUUGAUGUCACCAGUAAACCUCCGCAUCAUUGGGACAGUUCUGAACGUCAGUACAAGUUGAAUGAAUAAGUUUUGUUGUUGGCAAGCUGCCUGAGGAAUUCAUUGAAUCAAAGGUAGAGUACAUGAAUUUAGGCAUCCUAAAGAGAAAUUUCACAAAUCCACAUUAAAAGUCCUACUAAUAUCAGCAAGAGUGGCUUUUGCUUGGACCUGACUAUACACCUGCAAUGGGAGAAGAAACUGAAAAUUGCCCUGUGUGUCCAGCUGCAUACCAAGGUUGGAGUGGGUCCGGAGAUGAGAUGUGUAGCAAGGCCAGGAGGAUGAGCAGUGUGGAGCGGCCAAGGAAAUAAUCUUUAAUUUACACUUGGAGUGGAUAGCUGAGGUGAAGGAUCUGGAUAAAUGGGCUGAGAAAAUUAUCCAGUAUUUCUCCUUAGACUCACAACCUUGAAAUUCUUUCGAUAUUCACUUUGGCAAAAUUUCAGUUCCAACCCUAAGGACCCUGCUAGCGAUGGCAAAAGACGAGAGAUUCUUGAUGGAACCAUAAAGAAGCUAUCAGAGGGAUGAGAUGCUAAUAAUUAGGGCCGGAAAUGGAAACCCUCCUACAGCAAGGAACAAUUACUGGUGACUGUGUGAAUCUGUGGAGUGUCUACGAUGUUUAACUGCCCCAGUGAUGGGUAACAAGUUGUUGAAAGAAAUGUUGCCUAAUUAAAUGGGAAGUUUAUAUAUAUAACCUUUCAAGACGUUAUUGAAUUUCCAAUGGAAUUGCUCAAACAGAGAACUGUGCUGUAAUGAAAGGGAUGAUUAAUCUUGUUCCUCCUAUUACCAACUCUAAUUAGAAAAAUAAACGAGUAAUCUUUAGAAUGAAAUUCACCAGCAGCAUAAGCUUAAAA
Molecule: long non-coding RNA, 955 nt
Organism: Hemicordylus capensis (graceful crag lizard)
Lineage: Eukaryota; Metazoa; Chordata; Lepidosauria; Squamata; Cordylidae
Exons: 6
Source: RefSeq, a predicted model, not a curated record